AGCCCGCAGCAGCCCGGCUCGGCGCUUGGCUGGCCUGGGGCGCGCGCUCCAGAGUGAACCGUGCGUGCCGGGAGCCGGGAGUCCGGAGACCGAACCAGAAUGGAUGCCUCGAGCAGACACAAUUCCCCUUAUUCAGAUUAUCCGAAAAUGUGAGUCACGUCCCCUUAGGCAAAACAGGUCUCUAGUUAGGGUGAUAUUUUUUUAAGAGAUAAAUUCCAAUCUGCCUUCCAACUCACCCCAUCUCAGUUUGCUGACGUUGCUGAUUUUUUUUUUACCCCUAGUUCCAACCGUAUAUUUAUUUUACAUUAUUUCUCUAGUGUCGUUGUUAAUAUUGAAAAAGAAGUUUUCUCUUACAUUAGUUUGUAUUACAAGUAGUGUUUGCGCUGACCUUAUUUUUCUGUUUUCCAAUAUGCACACACAAACGCACAUCUGUUAUAGAGCCUGUUCCAAGCUUGAGAGGUUGACCAAAAAAUAUCUGGGAAGAAAUGAGCUCGUGAUGUGUGUGCAUUUUUCUUAUUUACACAUUUCAUUGCUCGUGUGUUCCUGUGAUUCUUUU
RNAcentral lists this long non-coding RNA (556 nucleotides) under Homo sapiens (human). Its description in RNAcentral is "HSALNT0337580". Lineage: Eukaryota; Metazoa; Chordata; Mammalia; Primates; Hominidae. The record is from RNAcentral.